AGAGUUUGAUCAUGGCUCAGAACGAACGCUGGCGGCGUGCCUAACACAUGCAAGUCGAACGUGAUUGAGGAGCUUGCUCCUCAUGAAAGUGGCGCACGGGUGAGUAACGCGUAGAUAAUCUGCCUGGUGAUUUGGGAUAACACUUCGAAAGGGGUGCUAAUACCGGAUAAGCCCACGGAGUCCUUGGACUCUGCGGAAAAGGAGGGGACCUUCGGGCCUUCCGUCAUCAGAUGAGUCUGCGUACCAUUAGCUAGUUGGUAGGGUAAAGGCCUACCAAGGCGACGAUGGUUAGCUGGUCUGAGAGGAUGAUCAGCCACACUGGAACUGAGACACGGUCCAGACUCCUACGGGAGGCAGCAGUGGGGAAUUUUGCGCAAUGGGGGAAACCCUGACGCAGCAACGCCGCGUGAGUGAUGAAGGCCCUUGGGUCGUAAAGCUCUGACAGAGGGAAAGAAAUGUGGGUGGCUAAUAUCCAUUCCACUUGACGGUACCCUCAAAGGAAGCACCGGCUAACUCCGUGCCAGCAGCCGCGGUAAUACGGAGGGUGCGAGCGUUGUUCGGAUUUAUUGGGCGUAAAGCGCGUGUAGGCGGUUUUAUAAGUCUGAUGUGAAAGCCCCGGGCUCAACCUGGGAAGUGCAUUGGAUACUGUAAGACUUGAAUACGGGAGAGGGCAGUGGAAUUCCUGGUGUAGGAGUGAAAUCCGUAGAUAUCAGGAGGAACACCGGUGGCGAAGGCGGCUGCCUGGACCGAUAUUGACGCUGAGACGCGAAAGCGUGGGUAGCAAACAGGAUUAGAUACCCUGGUAGUCCACGCUGUAAACGAUGAGUACUAGGUGUUGCGGGUAUUGACCCCUGCAGUGCCGCAGCUAACGCAUUAAGUACUCCGCCUGGGAAGUACGGUCGCAAGACUAAAACUCAAAUGAAUUGACGG
RNAcentral lists this ribosomal RNA (930 nucleotides) under uncultured bacterium. Its description in RNAcentral is "SSU rRNA". It matches the Rfam family "Bacterial small subunit ribosomal RNA", at positions 8 to 916 of the family's 1533-position model. The record is from RNAcentral.